CGCCUUCAUGAAGCCGGAAUUGCUAGUAAUGGCAGGUCAGCAUACUGCCGUGAAUACGUUCCCGGGCCUUGUACACACCGCCCGUCACACCAUGAGAGUUGGGAAUACCCGAAGCCUGUGAGCUAACGAAAGAGGCAGCAGUCGAAGGUAGAGCCAAUGAUUGGGGUGAAGUCGUAACAAGGUACC
This 186-nucleotide ribosomal RNA is filed under the name uncultured bacterium. RNAcentral describes it as "partial 16S ribosomal RNA". It matches the Rfam family "Bacterial small subunit ribosomal RNA", at positions 1313 to 1500 of the family's 1533-position model. The record is from RNAcentral.